UGGUGGAGUGAUUUGUCUGGUUAAUUCCGUUAACGAACGAGACCUUAACCUGCUAAAUAUGCCGCGCUAACCCGUCCAUCAAAACCCAUGCGCGGCUCACGCGGUCCGCUGCGGGUGGUGUCGCUUCGCGGCGACGUCAUCCCGCCGGCAGGGCCCGGGUCCGUGUGGGCGGUAGGGUUCGGCGUCCGUGCUUCUUAGAGGGACUGCUGCGCGCCUAGCCAGCGGAAGUUUGAGGCAAUAACA
RNAcentral lists this ribosomal RNA (243 nucleotides) under uncultured eukaryote. RNAcentral's name for it is "partial 18S ribosomal RNA". It matches the Rfam family "Eukaryotic small subunit ribosomal RNA", at positions 1299 to 1458 of the family's 1831-position model. The record is from RNAcentral.